AGUGAACGCUGGCGGCGUGCCUAACACAUGCAAGUCGAACGAUGAUGGAGAGCUUGCUCUCCUGAUUAGUGGCGCACGGGUGAGUAUACCAUAGAUAAUGUACCUCUUAGUUCGGGAUAGCCACUGGAAACGGUGAUUAAUACCGGGUACUCCUUCUUGUCAAAAGGCAAGUCGGGAAAGUUUUUUCGCUAAGAGAUCAGUCUAUGUCCUAUCAGUUAGUUGGUGAGGUAAUGGCUCACCAAGACUAUGACGGGUAUCUGGUUUGAGAGGAUGAUCAGACACACUGGAACUGAGACACGGUCCAGACUCCUACGGGAGGCAGCAGUGAGGAAUAUUGCACAAUGGAGGAAACUCUGAUGCAGCAACGCCGCGUGGAGGAUGACGCAUUUCGGUGUGUAAACUCCUUUUAAGAGGGAAGAUUAUGACGGUACCUCUUGAAUAAGCACCGGCUAAUUCCGUGCCAGCAGCCGCCGUAA
Molecule: ribosomal RNA, 476 nt
Filed under: uncultured bacterium
Lineage: Bacteria
Description: partial 16S ribosomal RNA
Rfam family: Bacterial small subunit ribosomal RNA
Source: RNAcentral